UCGAGAAUCAUUCACAAUGGGGGAAACCCUGAUGGUGCGACGCCGCGUGGGGGAAUGAAGGUCUUCGGAUUGUAAACCCCUGUCAUGUGGGAGCAAAUUAACAAGAUAGUACCACAAGAGGAAGAGACGGCUAACUCUGUGCCAGCAGCCGCGGUAAUACAGAGGUCUCAAGCGUUGUUCGGAAUCACUGGGCGUAAAGCGUGCGUAGGCGGUUUCGUAAGUCGUGUGUGAAAGGCGGGGGCUCAACCCCCGGACUGCACAUGAUACUGCGAGACUAGAGUAAUGGAGGGGGAACCGGAAUUCUCGGUGUAGCAGUGAAAUGCGUAGAUAUCGAGAGGAACACUCGUGGCGAAGGCGGGUUCCUGGACAUUAACUGACGCUGAGGCACGAAGGCCAGGGGAGCGAAAGGG
RNAcentral lists this ribosomal RNA (410 nucleotides) under Acidobacteriota bacterium. RNAcentral describes it as "Acidobacteria bacterium partial 16S ribosomal RNA". It matches the Rfam family "Bacterial small subunit ribosomal RNA", at positions 355 to 776 of the family's 1533-position model. The record is from RNAcentral. Lineage: Bacteria; Pseudomonadati; Acidobacteriota.